Homo sapiens (human) is the source of this 570-nucleotide long non-coding RNA. RefSeq lists it as uncharacterized. The transcript is spliced from 2 exons. NCBI's taxonomy places the organism in Eukaryota, Metazoa, Chordata, Mammalia, Primates, Hominidae. The record is from RefSeq and is a predicted model, not a curated record.
CGGACUCCACAGCAUUUGCUUGGCACCCGCUGUGUACGCAGAGUGCCGGAGAAGUUGGGCGUUGAUGGGGGAGACUCGGGCAGAGGACGCGCACCCUCCCUGGCCCACUCACAGGCCCCUGGAGGGGCCCCCACAACAGCCCCCCAGCCACCCCCAACCUGGCCUCCAGCAUCUCUCUCUGCCGAGUCCUUGCCUCUCCCCCGAGGAGAGCGGAGCCUCCAAUCAGGGCCUGGGAAAGCAAUUUUUCAAUCUCCAACUGCAAACACUAAUACCGCUGAAGCUAAUUUUACAGAUUUCCACUUCGAGGCCUUGCCUUUGUCCCAGAAUCCCUCAGCCCGGGAGAUUAGCAGUUUAGAGACUGGAAAAAAUAAGGGAGACGUCAAAGCCGCCAGGACCAGUCAAAGUAAUAUGCCUGCGACCGGCACAUGGACUUUUAUUUCUUCUCCCUCCACGCUCCAGAGCUGCUCCUGCGGCGUGGAGAGAUAAAUAUUUUAAAUAGCGACACUUUGGCGAUGCACGGUUAUGCAAGACAAGGAAUAAUUAGAAAAUAAAUUACUUUUUUUAAACACA